RNAcentral lists this small RNA (91 nucleotides) under Staphylococcus aureus. It matches the Rfam family "Staphylococcus sRNA sau-27". The record is from RNAcentral. Lineage: Bacteria; Bacillati; Bacillota; Bacilli; Caryophanales; Staphylococcaceae.
UCACAAAUUAGUGAGGGAGCUUUUUUCAGUUGUAGUCUCAAUCUAGUUAGACAGCACUUUAUUGGUAAUAACUAUAUAAAACAGUAGUUAU